Oryza sativa Japonica Group (Japanese rice) is the source of this 1603-nucleotide long non-coding RNA. RefSeq lists it as uncharacterized. The record is from RefSeq and is a predicted model, not a curated record. Lineage: Eukaryota; Viridiplantae; Streptophyta; Magnoliopsida; Poales; Poaceae.
CGGGGUGGGGCUCGUGUGCUUCCCCCCUCCACGGGUAGAGCGUGCUAGGGCUGUUGGUGCACGGGGAGGGUUUGGCAAUAUUGUUGGCGCCUAGUACCUCCUGCCACGUCAGUGCCGGGCCGCCGUGUGGUGCCAUGGUGACGGCGCAAGAGACCGUCCAGUUGGACCUCGACGCCAGCAAUUCUAGCGCCAAAAAGGAUCAUUCCUUAAAUAAGUUUUUUCUAAGAAUCUAUUUAUAAAAUAAGUUUGUGAAAAUGACCAAAUUGUAAAAAAUCAAGGAGAGUACAUGACAACCUCGUAUACACAUACUGGAUCUUGUGUUUGUAGACGACUAUAAAUUUGUAUCCCUCUCGUCUUCUGUCUUCUCCACCCAAGUACAAAUUUGAAGUGGCAAUUUUUAAUUUUCACUCACAACACUUGUUAUACUUGCUCUAACACAUAAGUAUCUGAUAUACACCCAAAAGGUAUAUGCGAGCUACAAGAGUGGAUUAUUGGGUGAAAUCAGUCAAGCCCUCCAGGAUGGACUAAUGGAAUUAGAAACAAUAUAAUUAAUUUUGGUGCCACCACGAGUCAUGCUGCAGAUGGUAAGGUUAGUUGUUCCUGAUUCUCUUUAAUUAAUAUAACUAGUAUUAUGGCUAAUUACGUACACGUGCAUGUCGUGGAAUCAAAUCAACGACAACUUUUGCUGGCUAGUGCCAAACCGGUCACAGGAAGAAAGGAGGACAUGGCAUUGACCCAUGGUAAACGAUAUGGCAAUCGAACUGCACGCACUACUCACUGCUACUUGCUCCGUACAAAAAAAAAUCAAAAACUGGAUAUGACAUAUCUAUCAUAGUACAACGAAUCUGAAAAGAGGACUGUCCAGAUUCAUUAUAUUAGAAUGUGUCUCUAGUAUUAGGUUGGUUUUUUAUGGGACGGAGGGAGUACGUAACAUGCCUGCUGCUAGCUAGCUAGCUGUGGGUCUAUAAAUCGUGAAAACUCAACAGCUAUGUAGAGAAGCAACAAAUUAACCAAAGAGGGUGCAAUUUCAGUCAGAGUAGGGAGAAGAAAAGAGUUAGUUUAGAAAUGAGGAAGCAACACACUUCUUCUGCUGUUGCUGCUGUUGCUGCGUCUCUUUGCAAGGUGCUCCUGAUGAUCCUCGCCCUCCUCUGCACCCUGCACACUGCCUCCGUGGUCGAAGGGAGAUCAGGUCCUCCGAACGGGCCGCCAGCUCCUAGUGCCAACGAAGAGCGGCACAAUACACCGGCCUUUCACAACUAGCUAGCUUGAUAUAACAGCUGCAGACUCACCAUGCAUGACAACCUACAUACCUGCAGCUCUCUAUACCCAUGACAUGGCAUGUAAUAAUAUGUGUGUGUGAUACUACGUAUGUACUGUUUCUGUUGCCGGAUCGGAUGAUGAUCGAUGUUCAACUUACUCUCCUAGCUGAGUAGUCCCUUAAUCCUUUUCAUCUCUUUGUGUAACUAGUGAGCAAAGGAAAAUUAAAUAUAGGGAUCUCAUCGAUCUGGGGCUUCUCCAUGUCUGUCAAGAGCUUGUGUAGAUCGAGCUGUGUGAUGGUGUUAAUCCUGGGAGGCACACUAUACAUACGAAGAGUUUUAACAGA